RNAcentral lists this ribosomal RNA (497 nucleotides) under uncultured bacterium. RNAcentral describes it as "partial 16S ribosomal RNA". It matches the Rfam family "Bacterial small subunit ribosomal RNA", at positions 28 to 507 of the family's 1533-position model. The record is from RNAcentral.
GAUGAACGCUGGCGGCGUGCUUAAUACAUGCAAGUCGAGCGAACGGACGAGGAUCUUGCGUCUCUGUUGUUAGCGGCGGACGGGUGUGUAACACGUGGAUACCCUACCUAUAAGACUGGUAUAACUUCGGGAAACCGGAGCUUAUACCGGAUAAUAUUUUGCACCGCAUGGUUGAAUAGUGAAAUACGGUCUUGCUGUCACUACUCGCUGGAUCUGCGCUGCUUGAGGGAGUUGGUAAGGUAACAGCUUACCAAGGCAACGAUGCGUAGCCGACCUGAGAGGGUGAUCGGCCACCCUGGAACUGAGACACGGUCCAGAGUCCUACGGGAGGCAGCAGGAGGGAUUCUGGCGCAAGGGGCGGAGGCCUGAGGGAGCAACGCCGAGUGAGGGAGGAGGGUCGUCGGAUGGUAGAACUCUGUUAUCAGGGAAGAAAAUGUGUGUAAGUGUCUGUACACGUCUUGACGGUACCUAAGCAAAAAGGCACCGCUAACUUCGUU